CUCCCGCUUGCGGGGGUGAUUAGUGGCGAACGGGUGAGUAAUACGUGAGUAACCUGCCCUUGACUCUGGGAUAAGCCUGGGAAACCGGGUCUAAUACUGGAUACGACCCCCUGUCGCAUGGUGGGGGGUGGAAAGGGUUUGACUGGUUUUGGAUGGGCUCACGGCCUAUCAGCUUGUUGGUGGGGUAAUGGCUCACCAAGGCGACGACGGGUAGCCGGCCUGAGAGGGUGACCGGCCACACUGGGACUGAGACACGGCCCAGACUCCUACGGGAGGCAGCAGUGGGGAAUAUUGCACAAUGGGCGGAAGCCUGAUGCAGCGACGCCGCGUGAGGGAUGACGGCCUUCGGGUUGUAAACCUCUUUCAGCAGGGAAGAAGCCACAAGUGACGGUACCUGCAGAAGAAGCGCCGGCUAACUACGUGCCAGCAGCCGCGGUAAUACGUAGGGCGCAAGCGUUGUCCGGAAUUAUUGGGCGUAAAGAGCUCGUAGGCGGUUUGUCGCGUCUGCUGUGAAAGCCCGGGGCUCAACCCCGGGUCUGCAGUGGGUACGGGCAGACUAGAGUGCAGU
This 568-nucleotide ribosomal RNA is filed under the name Kocuria sp. BS8. RNAcentral describes it as "bacterial SSU rRNA". It matches the Rfam family "Bacterial small subunit ribosomal RNA", at positions 73 to 652 of the family's 1533-position model. Lineage: Bacteria; Bacillati; Actinomycetota; Actinomycetes; Micrococcales; Micrococcaceae. The record is from RNAcentral.